AGAAGGCUCUCGGGUCGUAAAGCUCGUCAAUCGGGGAGAAUAGGAACAGGGCUUAUAAUCCUCAGCUUUGACGGUUCCCCUGCAGGAAGCUCCGCCUAACUCCGUGCCAGCAGCCGCGGUAAGACAUAGGGAGCGAGCGUUUUUCGGAAUUAUUGGGCGUAAAGAGCGCGUAGGCGGGCCGUUAAGUCAGAGGUGAAAUCUCUCGGCUCAACCCGGGACGUGCCUUUGAAACUGUCGGUCUUGAGUGCGGGAGAGGGAAGUGGAAUUCUCGGUGUAGCGGUGAAAUGCGUAGAUAUCUGGAGGAACACCCGUGUCGAAGGCGCCGUUCUGGGCCGACACUGACGCUGAGACGCGAAAGCGUGGGGAGCGAACACGAUUAGAUACCCCGGUAGUCCUCGCCGUAAACGAUGGGCGCUAGGUGUGUGGGGUAUUGACUCCCUCAGUGCCGCAGCUAACGCAUUAAG
RNAcentral lists this ribosomal RNA (464 nucleotides) under uncultured Bacillus sp. Its description in RNAcentral is "bacterial SSU rRNA". It matches the Rfam family "Bacterial small subunit ribosomal RNA", at positions 409 to 864 of the family's 1533-position model. The record is from RNAcentral. Lineage: Bacteria; Bacillati; Bacillota; Bacilli; Caryophanales; Bacillaceae.